UAACGCGUGGGAUCUACCUUUGGUACGGGAUAACGUUUGGAAACGAACGCUAAUACCGGUAUGUGGUCUACGGACCAAAGAUUUAUCGCCAAAGGAUGAACCCGCGUAGGAUUAGAUAGUUGGUGGGGUAAUGGCCUACCAAGUCUACGAUCUUUAGCUGUUCUGAGAGGAAGAUCAGCCACACUGGAACUGAGACACGGUCCAG
Molecule: ribosomal RNA, 205 nt
Filed under: uncultured bacterium
Lineage: Bacteria
Description: partial 16S ribosomal RNA
Rfam family: Bacterial small subunit ribosomal RNA
Source: RNAcentral